RNAcentral lists this ribosomal RNA (253 nucleotides) under uncultured bacterium. Its description in RNAcentral is "partial 16S ribosomal RNA". It matches the Rfam family "Bacterial small subunit ribosomal RNA", at positions 524 to 776 of the family's 1533-position model. The record is from RNAcentral.
CACGUAGGGUGCGAGCGUUGUCCGGAAUUAUUGGGCGUAAAGAGCUCGUAGGUGGUUUGUCGCGUUGUUCGUGAAAACUCACAGCUUAACUGUGGGCGUGCGGGCGAUACGGGCAGACUUGAGUACUGCAGGGGAGACUGGAAUUCCUGGUGUAGCGGUGGAAUGCGCAGAUAUCAGGAGGAACACCGGUGGCGAAGGCGGGUCUCUGGGCAGUAACUGACGCUGAGGAGCGAAAGCGUGGGGAGCGAACAGG